Molecule: ribosomal RNA, 1365 nt
Filed under: Triticum aestivum (bread wheat)
Lineage: Eukaryota; Viridiplantae; Streptophyta; Magnoliopsida; Poales; Poaceae
Description: partial small subunit ribosomal RNA
Source: RNAcentral
AUGGAGGGGCUCGACGUCGACGACGUCUUCCACCACUACCGGCUGAGCCCUACGGAAGUGGAGGCCGUCACAUACUACCUGCCACGCCUCCUCUCCGGCGAGACGCUGCAUGCCGUCGACAAGCUCAUCAACCGCGUUGAAAUCUCCGGCUGCGAGUCCAAGGAUCUGGCCCGCCAGUUCGCGCCCGUGCCGCAGGCCGUGAGCAGCGGCGACCGGUUCUUCUUCACCACCUGCAAGAGCAAGAACGGGAGCAAGCUCCAGAGCGUGCGCGGCGCCGGCGGCGGCACCUGGAGCAUCCAGAAGACCACGGAGAUCAUCCACGCGGGAUGCAAGGUCGGCGAGGUCAAGAACCUGUCCUUCAAGAAGAAGGGCAAGUCCACCGGCUGGGUCAUGGAGGAGUACCGGUGCCUGCUGCCAGAGGCCACCGUCUCCGACGGGGUGAAGGUGUUCUGCAAAAUGCACUUGGCUCAGCAUGCUCCUGACGCGGCCCGCCAGGAAUCGGCCGCGUACAAGCAUCGAGAAGCACAAACAGAGGCCGUGACCCCGAGCACGCACGCGCAGAAGAGGCCACCGCCCGCUGCCGCCGCCGAUCCUCAUCCGCCGCGCCCCAAGAAGAGGAUGCGCGGUGCCGUCCCCGUCCCGGUCCCGGCAUAUGCCACGCCGUCCUUCUUGAUGUAUGAUGAGGCAGCCAACUUCCCUGUUCAGUGUGCACAAGCAUCAUGCGAGUCCACUACAACAUCCAGCCGCUCCGACGUUGCUCAAGCUCCUGAGAUUUCCUCCCAGUCAGAUGUGCUUGAGUCCACCCAAUCAGUUGUGCUGGAGUCUGUCAAGCAUUACAGCCAACAACAGAUUGUUCCUGAGGCUGGCUCAAGCAUUGCAAGGAGCUCAUCUGAAGAGGAUGUCUUUGAGCCAUUGGAGCCUAUUUCCAAAUUGCCGGAUGGGGACGAAGAUGGUUUUGAUCUUGAAGAACUAAUGAGAAUGAUGGAAGACGACCCAAUUGAAGUUGAGCCGGUCACUGGAGCCAACACUGGCGUGGAGAUGGGCCAACAGGAACCUCUGUGCCUGGAUGCCUUGGACCAAGGCGUGCUGGAGGGUAUGCUGCAGUUCGAUUACCCUUGCCCAAUGACGAGUUCAGAGGAUCCGGCCAUGCACAACCCUGCCUUCCAUGAUGCUGACAAGGAGAAGAGGUACAAUGCCGCGUCGGAUCUUGACGCUCCAUCGCAGGACCACUUGUUCAAACCGCGGCCGUGCUCCUUCGAUCCAUUUGAAGCAGCGUGGAAGGCCGAAGAGGCGCUCGAGAAGCCGCGGCCAAUCUUCACGCUGGAGGGACAGAGCAACUUCUUCUCGCCUGCAAGUGUCUAUUAG